CCUACGGGAGGCAGCAGUGGGGAAUAUUGCACAAUGGGCGCAAGCCUGAUGCAGCCAUGCCGCGUGUGUGAAGAAGGCCUUCGGGUUGUAAAGCACUUUCAGCGAGGAGGAAGGGUAGUGUGUUAAUAGCACAUUGCAUUGACGUUACUCGCAGAAGAAGCACCGGCUAACUCCGUGCCAGCAGCCGCGGUAAU
This 194-nucleotide ribosomal RNA is filed under the name uncultured bacterium. RNAcentral describes it as "partial 16S ribosomal RNA". It matches the Rfam family "Bacterial small subunit ribosomal RNA", at positions 338 to 524 of the family's 1533-position model. The record is from RNAcentral.